AAAACCUUUUCAAAAUAAAAGAGAAAGUUGGAGUCGGUGGCCACCUACGGUGCCACUUAAGGAUCGCAGGUGGCACCUACGGUUCGUAGUUGGUAGGCUGUAGGUGCCAGGGUCUUCAAAACUCCUACAGGAUCUCUGAACUUCAACUUCUGGCACUUAGGGGUCGUAGCUGCCGCAUCGUAGGUAGCAGGGCCAAAAUUGCAACUUAUGAAUCCUUGAAACUCAACUCUCUGACACUUGUUCUGGCACCUACACCAUGUAGGUAGUACCUGCGGGCCGUAGCUGCCAACGCAGGUGGUCAAAAACUCCAAUUUUCACUUUUUUUCUCCUGUUUAGCUUGCAAAACCUGGUUUCCUGCAAAACAAAACACAUCAUAUCUAAUAACAUGGUCUAAGCAACUACAUGUUUUUGUAGUUUUAAGCAUCGAAAGUGCUAUGAAACCAUAGCACAUCAACGACCUUGUGUCAUAAAUCGUACUUGAAUAAAAAUACUGAAUUUUCUUAUUGGAGAAUUUCUUAUAACCGACAUAUAUCACGUGAGCUUACGAUAUCAAACCUUUGACCCGGUAGGGAGAGUUGUCUUAUACAUUGUCGGGGCAUAUGAUGUAGCUGAACCCUGGAUCUAUAUUGAGUCCUUCUCAAGAGCUUAAAGAGGAGUCAUUCGAACCAACGACAUAUCUUAUCCUACCCCGGUAUACGUAAUUUCGGGGCAUGUAUUAUCCGAACCCAUAUCCUUAUCUAUGUUAAUUAUUCUCCCACAAUAUAUAUAUGCUAAAUAUUGUAACCUCUUAAAGGUAAACUAUUAAUUAUACUCUGAAAGUCUUGGCUCAAAUUCAUAAUCAUGAAUAUAUACAAUUGGUGAGCCUCUACUCAAUAUCAUAUCGCGAAAAUAUACUAUUGCCAAUUGGUGAGCCUCUACUCAAUAUCACUUCAUGAAAAUAUGUCGCUGAUGAGCCUUCGCUCAAAAUCAUAUGCAAACAUGCUAGUUUGAGAUUAUAAGAUAAAUGACAUUUUCUUUCAAAAUCUAUCUACAUGCAUAGGAAAGAUCUGUAAACUUUCUUAAAAUAAAUUUUUAAAAUUGUAACUAAUUUUCAUAGAAAACAUAAGACAACUUAUGUAAAAUAUGACUAGGCUACAAAGCGAGAUAAAUUCAUAAGGUUUUUUUUUUGGUUGAACGAACACAUUUUAUUAUCUCAUUUAUUACCCGCUCUAUUUGGAGCUUACAUUUCAAGGAAAAUUCACUAGCACCUCAUCAGCCUCAUCUCGACCACACUACUAUUUUCUAGACUUUGAUCCUAUACAUUUGUUCUUUGUAUAUACUUUUCUAUCCAAGCUCUAUCUCUAUAGUUUACUCUCCCCUUAUCCGAUAAACAAAUCUACUUUUGCUCUCCUGUUGGAUUUUCCUGAUCACAUUUGCAGGCCUCGGAACCAUUUUGUUCCACAGUGCUUGAUUCCUUGCUUGCCGUAUGUGGUUUAUUACCGCUGCAAUUGUUGCCCAGAUGCUUCUACUGAUCUUGCGUACUGCCUUCCUUGCCAUGCUUUUCCAUAUAUUCUGCAGGUCUGUGUCACACAAUUUAAUGUUAAGCCACUCCAAGAUCCCUUCCAGGCAUAGUCUUGAGAAUUUACAUUCAAACAUUAAGUGUUCUAUUGAUUCCGGAGCUAGGUCGCACAGUAAACACUUGUCGCUUUGGCAUACUCCCAUUUUUACCAACCUGGUUCUUGUUAGCAGCCUUCCAUGCAUUGUCAACCAAUAAAUAAAGCUAUGUUUUGGCAUAUUUCUGCUAUUCCAGACGCCCCUACACCAAGGCCAUUCAUUAUUGGCCCUUAUCCUACAGCAGUAGCCACUAUGAAUGGUGUAUUUACCACGUACAGUUAUCCAAUGAUUCUGUAUGUAUCCUCCUCAAAAUCUCUCUUUAAUUGAACAUAUUUUCCUACAAUACCAUCAACAAUAUUGGGGUGGUUGAUAUUGCCACCAAUUUAGCCCCUUUAUGUAUACAUGAUCCACCUAUUUCACCCAUAGGUUAUCCGCUUUGCACGCCAUAUUCUGGACAUACUUUGCAAUUGCAGCCUCAUUCCACACAAUACUAUCAAUUAUGCUCAGUCCUCCCUCUUUUUUGGCUUUGCAUAACACAUCUCAUGCUACUAGAGGAGGUUUAUUUGUGUGUACUGCUCCACUCCAUAUGAAAUUCCUACAAACUGUUGUAAUUCCUUUUAACACCUUCUUUGGUAAUAAAAAGAUAGAAGACCAAUAUGUAUGUAUGUAUGUGUAUUAGUACUGAAUUGACUAAUUGUACCCUGCCAGAAUAGGAUAGGUUCCUGGUUCCCCAAGUUUUGAUUCGGCUGGUCAUCUUGUCCAAUAAGACUUCACAAUCCAUUGAUGUGAGAUUUUUUUGCAGAUAUAGGGACCCCUUGAUAUUUAAAUGGCAAUGCACCAGUAGUAUACCCAGUCAAUUUAUAUUCACCGAGAAUAUACUUGAUUUGCUAGCAUUUGUACACAAACCAGAUGCAUCCAAGAAUGUCUUCAAUCCACGAAGCAUAAGCACCACUGAUUCAAAUUCUCCUUUGCAGAAUAAAAGCAUAUCAUCUGCGAAACAUAGAUGGUUGAGUCUCAGACUUCUACACUUGGUAUGGAAUGUAAAUCCCUCUUGAUCAGCCACCCAAUCCAUCAUUCUUGAAAAACAUUUCAUACAGAGGACAAAAAUCAAAGGGGAUAUUGGGUCCCCUUGUCUCAGUGCUCUUUUCCCUUUUAUCACUCCAUAUACUCCACCAUUUUGGGCAAUGGUGUACUUCGUAGAUGUAAUGCACUCCAUUAAGAGUUUGAUGAACUUAACUGGGAAGUUCAAACCAUACAACAUCUCUUUUAUAAACUCCCAUUCGACUGUGUCAUAUGCUUUUCUUUGAUCAAUUUUAAUAAGGCAACUUUUUGUGGUGGCUUUCCUGUUAUACAGCCUUACCAAGUCCUGACAGAUAAGUAUAUUCUGAACUAUUGUUCUUCCUGUUACAAAGGCACUCUGUGUGUCUGAUAUAAUAUUAGGGAGCACCUUCUUCAGUCGAUUACGUAGCACUUUUGAUAUCACCUUGUACAGGGUAUUACAACAUGAAAUUGGUCUGUAAUUAGCUACUGUCCCUGCUUGAUGUCCUUUAGGAAUCAGAGUGAUCAUUGUAUCAUUUAAGCCUUGCAACAUCUGCCCCAUCUUAAAAAAUUCCUUGACCCCCGCCUCUACAUCUCUCCCUACUAUCUCUGAAGAAUUUGCUUCCAAAACCAUCAGGCCCCGGGGCUUUAUCGCCUUCAAUUACCCAUAAUGCUGAUUUAAUCUCCUCUUUAGUGACCUCUUGUACCAGCAUGCUACAUUGUUCAUCCAAUACCACAGCUCCUCUUCUAAUAAUUCUGCUGUUAGCUGGCUGCCUCCCAUUCAUUUUUGUGCCCAAUAGCUCUGUGUAAUAUUCAAUGAAAGCUCUACUUAUGUCAUCCAUGUUGGUUUUGACUUCCCCUCUAGUGUUCUUUAUAGCCAAAAUUCUAUUCUUGUUCCUUCUGGCCUUCAAAUACCUGUGAAACAGGGCAGUGUUCUGGUCCCCCUCUUGUAGCCACUUCACUUUGCAUUUUUGGUUCAGGUACUGAUGUUUUGCAUUUUGCAGCUGUUCACAUUGUUUAGCCAAUUACAUCUCUUCAUCAAACAAUUCUGUACUUGGUGAUUGUUGUAUUCUUACUUGACAAUUCAGCAAUUGUUCCAUUGCUAUGGCAGCCUUGUUUUCAAUAUCACUAAAUAUGUCCCUAUUAAGCUGUUUGAGGACAAAUUUUAGUCUGUUCAGUUUACCCACCACUUGGAACAUUCUCCUUCCUACUAUCCUUUUAUCCCAGUUACUCUUUAUUUUCUGUAGAAAGUCCGGUGCUAAGCUACACAUGUUAAAGUACAUGAAUUGCCUUGUUCUUGACAUAUUAUGUUUUUUCCAAUGAACCAGUACUGGGCAGUGGUCAUAUAACCCUUUUUGAAGGAUGCAAGCUGUUGAUACUGGCAGGUCUGAAACCCACUCAUCAUUCACUAGCACCCUAUCAAUUUUGCUAUAAACUUGAGCCACGCCUUGUUGUUUAUUACUCCAUGUAUAAAAAGAUCCUGUUGACCUGAGAUCCUGCAAGCCACAUUGUUCCACACACACUUUGAAAUCAAUUAUUUCUGCCAUAGUAACCGGUCUCCCUAUUCUUUCCUCCUUAUUCAAAACAAAAUUGAAAUCUCCAAGAACUACCCAUGGUCCAGUCGUUUGGCCACUAAUGGACAUAAUGUCAGCCCACAAGGAUCUCCUUAGAGCUUGAUCAUUAAAGCCAUAAAUCAUAGUCACAUGAAACCUUGUUCCAGUCACUUUGUCCUCAACCAAAAUAUGAAUUAAUUGAUCCGUUACACCUUUAAUAUUCACAAUAUAUACCUCUGGAUUCCACACCAUCCAUAUCCUAACCCCUUUAUGCAUACUCAAAUUAGUAGUGAACGACCAUCCUGCACAAAGAUUAAGAGAAGCACUAUGUGCUCAAUUUCUCUUAAUCUUUGUCUCUAGGAGAUCAAACAAGCUCACUUUAGAUUGAUACAGAAACAUCUGCAUCACUCUUUGUUUAGUAAGCUUGUUUAGUCCCCUUACAUUCCAACAUCCAAAACUAUCCAUUGGGGGGAGAUGUAUCUCCUCUCCUUACUUUCCCAGGGUUGCUACUAUUUACCUUAUUUCCCAUAUCUGCUACGUUUUCUGCUUCUCCCACCGUGUUCUCUAGUAAUUUACUAUACCUAUUGGUUGAGAUAGUUCUUGUUUCUGGUUCUUUUUUUUUUAUUUACUCGGAGAGCCUUGUCUUGGCCUCUCAUUCAACAUUUCUUUUUGCUUGUCCCCUGCUUGUUGAGCUGGUGGAGGACGUUCUUUUUUAUUCCCUUCAUCUUCUACGGGCUUCUUCGAUGCUUCCUUUCUCUGUUGUUUUCUACAUUGUGUCACCUCAUGACCACAAUUCUUCCAUUUCGAGCACAGUACUGGUUUCCACUCGUAAUCCACCAUCUGAUCAACAAUUCUCCCAUUUUCAUUUUCGAACAUUACUUCUGCUGGCUAUUCUUGAUCCAGUGGCAUCUCCACUAGUAUACGAGCAUAUGUCAUUCUCUCUUCAUUGGUCGUAGCACGAUCCGCCUUUAACGGUUUUCCAAUUAAUCCUGCAAUUUUUAUUAAAGCCCUCUUUCCCCAAUACUUUAUGUUUAAGCUUGGUAGUCUGAUCUACACAGGGACUGUUUUUACUGUCUCCUUUGUCACCUCCGUAUCCGGUGUCCAUGCCUUCACCACUAUUGGUUUGCGAUCAAACAUCACCACCCCUUCAUCUAUCACUUUUACUUUCUCUUCAUGAGUGGAGAAUCUGACCAAGAAUACCCCUCUAAUGCACUUGAACAAUUUAAUCAACUACUUUCCCCUUCCAGAUACGAUUGAAAUAUCCUUCCAUCACACUUUGGGGAGGGUUAGAUCCCAUCAUAUAGCAUAUCACUGCAUUACCCCAAAAUUCGCUUUCAUCCUGCACGUCUUCUAUAGUAAUUUUAACCCUUGGGCUAGGUGGGUCACUUCCCUGCAAAUCAAAGCCCUCCCUUGUUGAUCCACGGCUCACUAUCUGGCUCCACGUAUUCGGUGAUGGCGAUUUAGGGUUAGGUUUAUCAUCCAUCUUGUGAACUGUUGUUUCCUCCACUAUAUCCCCCCAUUUUGCCUUUCCUGUUGCGGAUGAACUAUGUGAACUCUCCCCUCUAAUAGUUACUCCUAUACUUCCAUAUUCAACUUGAAACGGAAGAAUCCCUUGCAAUAUAUUCACAUCUUUUGUCUUCCUUGCAUCUGCUGAUUGAGGAAUAGCCUUCGUUGAAUUAUUUGUGGGUUGAUCCCUAUUUUGGGUCUGUUGACCCCUCCCUCCGGUCUUCGUUUUCCUAACCAUUUCAGCAAUAGCUGAGAGGAAACGCCAGUUCUAGAAAGAGAAAGUCUUGUAUUCAAAUAAUGUUUUUCUUUUAUGAUAUAAUUUCAUAAGGUUUAAAACAGGAUCAAUGGAUAUGAAAUAGGAUGAAAAUCAAAACGUGAAUUUAACUUUUGAAACUUCUAAUUAUUUUCAUGGAGGAUUCAAAAAUUCUCUUCAAGAGAUAAGGAAGUUACACUUCAAGGAUUCAAUUCUAAAAUUCAAACUUGAUUCAUGAACGAACUAAAAUUAAAAACAUGCUUGCGGAGAAAAAUAGGGUUCACACAUUAAAAAUUAGUCUUGCAUAGGUUGAGAGAUGCUAGAAUUUGGAGAAGAACCCGAGAGAUUUUCUUUGCUUGAGUUCUAAAGGUUGUUUCAUGCAACCCUUGUCCUUCUUGAGUAGGGGAGAAAGGAGAGGAAUAAUACGUAGUGAUGCC
RNAcentral lists this long non-coding RNA (6380 nucleotides) under Capsicum annuum. RNAcentral describes it as "long non-coding RNA (CANN_LNC022208)". The record is from RNAcentral. Lineage: Eukaryota; Viridiplantae; Streptophyta; Magnoliopsida; Solanales; Solanaceae.